This 306-nucleotide ribosomal RNA is filed under the name uncultured bacterium. RNAcentral describes it as "partial 16S ribosomal RNA". It matches the Rfam family "Bacterial small subunit ribosomal RNA", at positions 507 to 807 of the family's 1533-position model. The record is from RNAcentral.
GACAGCAGUCGCCGCGGUAAUACGUAGGUGGCAAGCGUUGUCCGGAAUUAUUGGGCGUAAAGGGCUCGUAGGCGGUUUCUUAAGUCUGAUGUGAAAGCCCCCGGCUCAACCGGGGAGGGUCAUUGGAAGCUGGGAAACUUGAGUGCAGAAGAGGAGAGUGGAAUUCCACGUGUAGCGGUGAAAUGCGUAGAGAUGUGGAGGAACACCAGUGGCGAAGGCGACUCUCUGGUCUGUAACUGACGCUGAGGAGCGAAAGCGUGGGGAGCGAACAGGAUUAGAUACCCCCGUAGUCCCUGUCUCUUAUAC